Homo sapiens (human) is the source of this 292-nucleotide long non-coding RNA. RefSeq lists it as uncharacterized. The record is from RefSeq and is a predicted model, not a curated record. Lineage: Eukaryota; Metazoa; Chordata; Mammalia; Primates; Hominidae. The transcript is spliced from 2 exons.
UGUCUUGUGCCACCCUUGAGAUGAAUUUUAAUUCAGUAGAAUAUCUUUGCCAGCUAGUACCAACAUACCGUAUUGAUAGCUCUAAAUUAGGUUUCUACGCUUUCCUCCUUCAUGAAGGAACUGCAUAUAAACUACAAGCAGGGGUUAAGGGAAACAUGCCAGGUCAGCUGAGAUACAGAAACAGAUGAGCAAAAGGCAAAUAACAGAGGAGGUAAGAAGGAAGAGCAAGCAUCUCUAUGUCUACAACUCUGCUACGUUAGGAACUCACUAAUAAAUAUUGCAAUAUUUACCA